Molecule: ribosomal RNA, 784 nt
Filed under: Fagicola fagi
Lineage: Eukaryota; Fungi; Ascomycota; Dothideomycetes; Venturiales; Venturiaceae
Description: partial large subunit ribosomal RNA
Rfam family: Eukaryotic large subunit ribosomal RNA
Source: RNAcentral
GCAACAGCUCAAAUUUGAAAUCUGGCUCACGCCCGAGUUGUAAUUUGUAGAGGAUGUUUCGGGUGAAGCCGCGGUCCAAGUCCCUUGGAACAGGACGUCAUAGAGGGUGAGAACCCCGUACCUGGCCGCCGGUGCCCCCCGCUGUGAAACUCCUUCGACGAGUCGAGUUGUUUGGGAAUGCAGCUCUAAAUUGGUGGUAAAUUCCAUCUAAAGCUAAAUACCGGCCAGAGACCGAUAGCGCACAAGUAGAGUGAUCGAAAGAUGAAAAGCACUUUGAAAAGAGAGUUAAAAAGUACGUGAAAUUGUUGAAAGGGAAGCGCUUGCGGCCAGACUUGCCCGCGGUUGCUCAGCCCGCCUUUUGGCGGGUGUACUCUUCCGCGGUCAGGCCAGCAUCGGUUUGGGCGGUCGGAUAAAGGCGUUGGGAACGUGGCCUCCCCUCGGGGAGGUGUUAUAGCCCGGCGCGCAAUGCGGCCAGCCCGGACCGAGGUUCGCGCUUUGCUAGGAUGCUGGCGUAAUGGCCGUAAGCGGCCCGUCUUGAAACACGGACCAAGGAGUCUAACAUCUAUGCGAGUGUUUGGGUGUCAAACCCGUGCGCGUAAUGAAAGUGAACGGAGGUGGGAACCGCAAGGUGCACCAUCGACCGAUCCUGAUGUCUUCGGAAGGAUUUGAGUAAGAGCAUAGCUGUUGGGACCCGAAAGAUGGUGAACUAUGCGUGAAUAGGGUGAAGCCAGAGGAAACUCUGGUGGAGGCUCGCAGCGGUUCUGACGUGCAAAUCGAUCGUCAA